This 279-nucleotide ribosomal RNA is filed under the name uncultured Staphylococcus sp. RNAcentral's name for it is "partial 16S ribosomal RNA". It matches the Rfam family "Bacterial small subunit ribosomal RNA", at positions 83 to 355 of the family's 1533-position model. Lineage: Bacteria; Bacillati; Bacillota; Bacilli; Caryophanales; Staphylococcaceae. The record is from RNAcentral.
CCUUUGACGUUAGCGGCGGACGGGUGAGUAACACGUGGGUAACCUACCUAUAAGACUGGGAUAACUUCGGGAAACCGGAGCUAAUACCGGAUAAUAUUUCGAACCGCAUGGUUCGAUAGUGAAAGGUGGUCUUGCUAUCACUUAUAGAUGGACCCGCGCCGUAUUAGCUAGUUGGUAAGGUAACGGCUUACCAAGGCGACGAUACGUAGCCGACCUGAGAGGGUGAUCGGCCACACUGGAACUGAGACACGGUCCAGACUCCUACGGGAGGCAGCAGUU